AGCUGCACCUCGCUGGAGCAGUUGGCUACAGUUGUUGCAACUUUUUUCGAAAGCUCGGUUUCCCGGGAGAUCCAGGCGGUGACAGAGCCGGGCCAUGGCUAGAGGUAUUUGCUUGGGUGGCUAGCGCAAGGAGCGGGGGAUGGGGGUCCCCUGGAGGGAGCCGGGUGGCGGGAGCGGCGGCGGGGUGGCGCCCUCCUGCGGGUGGAGCGCGGGGGCCGGGGGGAAGGGGGCUGCCACAGAACCUUCCCCUCCCGCUCCCCGCCCCCUGCCCCCUGCCCCUUGCCCCUAAUCCGAAGCCUGCAGGAGCGCCUCCACCGCUGCGCCUCAGGCUCCUCUCAAGUGUGGGCGCCCACUGACCGCCUCUCCAGAGGCGGCGGACCCAUGUGCCAGCGCCCUUUGGAAACUGACGACGGGGGCACCUCUGGGAGCGGUUGUUUGUUCGGGGGGGGUGGGGUCGAGGCUUUGCCCACCUUGGGGCGCCCCGUCGAGGGGCAGGAAGCGACCGGGGCGAGGGCGCAGACCCAGAGCCUGCCUCCUAGGAGCGCCGCGGAGGGCACCCUCCUUCCCCACUCCCUGAGUCAGCUCUGCGCCGCGGGGCGAGGGCCGGCCGCUGGCACACUUCGAGCAGAAACGUGUCCCCCGGCACCUCCCGGAGAAGCCCUCCGCCCAGAAGCCGGCCAGGACUCCAGCCCUUCGCGGAUGGCGUGGGUGGGCUUGUGCAGCCUCGGCGGGCGACGUGCCUGCCUCAAGUCAGUCUUUGCAUACUUAGUUUGCUGUCAGGACCGUAGAGCCCACGUUAUGCGGCAAAGAGAUCUCCAACCGCUGGUCAUUUCCAGCGACUGCCUCCUCCUGCUCGCUCAAGGGACAAAAACUUAAGCGUGACAGGCAACUAGAAUUACCGAUUUUUAAAAAAUCGAGUUGUAGUAUUCUUCUCGAAAUUCCAAGGCAUCGUGUGUUGGUAGUAAUUUGGCUUACUGUAGUGUACUCCCUGUAGCAAUAAUAAUUAAUAAAAUCACGAUUCAUUCAGCAAAUCUUUAUGGGGCCCCUUUGUUUUCAGGCCCUAUACACGAUUGCAUCAUUUAUUCAGGGUAGGAUCUUUUGGGACAAGAAUUCCCCAGGGAUUUAUUAAUUUAUUUUGUUAGUACUGGGAAUUGAGCCCCGGGGCACUUUACCAUUGGGCCAUAUCUCCAGACAUUUUUAUUUUAUUUUAUUUUCAUUUUAAGACAGAGUAUUGGUGAGUUGCCCAGGCUGGCCUGGAACCUGUGAUCCUCCUGCUUCAAUAGUAGUUGGGAUUACAGACGUGGCCACCGCAUGGGGCUAGACUUCCCUAGAUUCUAAUGAAGUAAUGAGGCCUAGUAAACUUCUGGUUAAAGAGCUGUAACCCAAUUCAUAAUUCACAGGGAAAUUAAAACUAGUAUUUUUCCUUUAAAAAGUAUAUUCAUCUGACAAGACUUAGUAAAACUGAUUCUUUGUUUUUCCCAUCACUGCAAAAACAUUUAAACUACCAGUUUCAAAAGUAAAAGUUUAAAAAAAGAAAAAAAGUGCUUAAAAUCAUUAUUUUUAAAAUUAUUUUUUUAGAUAUUGAUGGACCUUUUAUUUUAUUCAUUUAUUUAUAUGCGGUGCUGAGAAUCGAACCCAGUGCUUCACAUAUGGUAGGCAAGUGCUCUACACUGAGCUACAACCCCAGCCCAAAUAAUAAUUAUUGAGGGCCAGGCAGUUUAUUAUCUUAUUUAAUCUUUUUUUUUUUCCUUCACUUCAGAUGGGUAAUGUGCCUAUGCUGUAAUAUGUUUAGAGGGAGGCACAUCUCGCACAAUUGUGUGAAUACCCAAUCAUCACUUACGAACAGAAGGAGCUCAUUUAAUCUUACAAAACGUUUUUUCAGAGAUGGAAGCUGAAGUUCAAGUCACCUUCCAGACUCUAGCCAUGCUGUGCCUUUGCUCAUUGGGCCCCCAUCUCCCUUAAUUAGCCUAAGUGAAGGUCAAAGUUUUCCAGCUUCUACCAUGGUAGGCUUACAAAUCACCUUUGUAAUUAUUAGUUAGAGAUUUUUUUUUUAAUAUUUAUUUAUUUAUUUUAGUUUUCGGCAGACACAACAUCUUUGUUUGUAUGUGGUGCUGAGGAUCGAACCCGGGCCGCACGCAUGCCAGGCGAGCACGCUACCGCUUGAGCCACAUCCCCAGCCCCUAGUUAGAGAUUUUCACUGUCUCACUUGACCCCUGGAUUAGUACUUACCUGUUUCUUAGGCUUCGCUAAGCUUGCAGACUAGUAAAUUGGAUUGUAAACACCAAAUUAUUUGUAGAAUAGCAAAAGAAAGCUUUUUCUUCUAGAAAAUCAUUCUUUGUUUCAGACUUGCAGUUUAUUUUGAGAGCCCCAGUAUGUUACAAACUGUUCAGAUACCAGUCGACUCCUAGCUGGUUUUGAAGUUUUAUUUAUUUAUUUUUGUGGUGCUGGGAAUUGAACCCAGGGCUCUUAACCACUGAGCCACAUCCCUAGGCCUUUUUUUUUUUUAAGAGAGAUAAUUUUUUAAUAUUUAUUUUUUAGUUUUUGGUGGGCACAACAUCUUUAUUUUAUUUUUAUGUGGUGCUGAGGAUCGAACCCAGUGCCCCAAGCAUGCCAGGCGAGGGCGCUACCGCUUGAACCACAUCCCCAGCCCCAUCUAGGCCUUUUGAGACAAGAUCUCACUAAGUUGUUCAAGCUGUCCUGGAACUUGUGAUCCUCCUGCCUCAGUCUCCUGAGUUGCUAGGAUUACAGACAUGGGCCUCCCCACCCAGUUGGUUUUAAAAUUUUAUAGGCACGUAACUAUUUACAACCCCAAGUAUUUUAUUUUUAUUUAUUUAUUUUUUUUUAAAGAGAGAGGGAGAGAGAGAGAGAAUUUUAAUAUUUAUUUUUUAGUAUUUGGCGGACACAACAUCUUUGUUUGUAUGUGGUGCUGAGGAUCGAACCCCGGCCGCACGCAUGCCAGGUGAGCGUGCUACCACCGUUUGAGCCACAUCCCCAGCCCCAACCCCAAGUAUUUUAGCUUGAGGAGGAUCAGUCCAUCUACUUCUCUCAUCUCUUCUAUUGCCAAACGGCCCCUUUCAGAUUGUUCUUCCUUCAUGCAUUUUUACCACUUCCAGUUCAUUAUCCCUUCACAGGUAGAGUAGUUCCCGAGAAUACAGAUUUUUAGCAUGGGACCCUUACUACUCUCUCCUUCACCAAUCUUCCUAUUGCUCCUAGAAUAAAAUCCACAGUAACUGUGGCCUAGGAGGUCACCAACAAUGCCACCGCAAGACCCCUGGCCUCACUGUGCUCCACCUAUUUUUGUUUUCACUACCCUAUUUUUAUCACAAGACCUGAAACAAAGUAGGUAUCCAAUAAAUAUUUGUUGAAUGAAUGAAUCAGUAUGUUAGCA
RNAcentral lists this long non-coding RNA (3388 nucleotides) under Marmota monax (woodchuck). Lineage: Eukaryota; Metazoa; Chordata; Mammalia; Rodentia; Sciuridae. The record is from RNAcentral.